CAAACGUGGACGCUCGGCUUCCUCACAAAAAGAACAAAAAAGAAUCCAAUUUCUCUCCUACUCCUUCUCGCUCACGAAACACAGAGAUAUCGGAGCAAUAAUGGGGGCGGAGGUGGGAGUAGCAGUGAGGACGUUGUUAAGCGUACUUGGAUGUCUCAUGGUGGCGGUUCUUGUUUACACAAUCGCCACUGACGGCCGCCCUUUUCGUAUUGAGCUACUCACCAGGUGGAUGGUUGCAUUACUGAUUGAUUUCUACAUACAUAUUGCUAUUAUAGGGGCUUGGGUUGUCUACAAGGAAUCAAGUUGGAUCAUGGCAACUGUUUGGGUCAUUUUGUUAAUUUGCUUAGGAAGUGUCACUACCUGCGGAUACAUCGUUAUGCAGUUCUACAAGUUGACACCUGAAGAAUCUUCAAAAGAUCCUUUGUACUUCGUGUUGGCUAGACACCAGAAAAGAGAUGCCACGGAGCACAGGAAGGGACCUUCUGUUGUAACUGCAAGAGUAAUCUUUGCUGUACUAGGCUGCUUGAUGCUGGGAGCUUUGCUUUACACGCUUAUUGUUGAUGGAUCUCCAUUCCGUGCUGAAUUAUACACACCGUGGAUGAUAGCAACAUUAAUUGACUUCUAUAUCAACGUUGUGGCUUUAGCGGUCUGGAUAGCAUAUAAGGAAUCAAGUUGGAUGAGUGCUUUCUUGUGGAUACCUCUUAUUGUGUGUUCUGGGAGCAUUGCAACCUGUGUAUACAUACUGCGACAACUAUUCUUUCUCUCUCCCGAUCAGCCUGUUUCCCUUAUACUCUUCAGCAACAAUCACAGGCUCAUUAAACAGGCAUAAAAGAAUCAUUUGGCCAACAUGACAGUACAAAGGGUUAGCUGAGCAAUAACUGAUUUGUGUUUACUUGUCAUUUUUAUGGAUAUCAAAAACUUAAAUAAGCUUAUAUGCAUUAUGCAUAAUCUGUAGUGUACACCAACCUUGUAUNUUAAAUAAGCUUAUAUGCAUUAUGCAUAAUCUGUAGUGUACACCAACCUUGUAUCUUAAAUAAGCUUAUAAGCAAUGAUAAGAUAACAUUAUACUA
Cynara cardunculus var. scolymus (artichoke) is the source of this 1070-nucleotide RNA transcript. RefSeq lists it as uncharacterized. The record is from RefSeq and is a predicted model, not a curated record. The transcript has 10 exons. Lineage: Eukaryota; Viridiplantae; Streptophyta; Magnoliopsida; Asterales; Asteraceae.